RNAcentral lists this ribosomal RNA (582 nucleotides) under Sphingomonas phyllosphaerae. RNAcentral's name for it is "bacterial SSU rRNA". It matches the Rfam family "Bacterial small subunit ribosomal RNA", at positions 80 to 697 of the family's 1533-position model. Lineage: Bacteria; Pseudomonadati; Pseudomonadota; Alphaproteobacteria; Sphingomonadales; Sphingomonadaceae. The record is from RNAcentral.
AUGCUUUCGGGCAUAGUGGCGCACGGGUGCGUAACGCGUGGGAAUCUGCCCUUGGGUCUGGGAUAACAGUUGGAAACGACUGCUAAUACCGGAUGAUAUCGCGAGAUCAAAGAUUUAUCGCCCGAGGAUGAGCCCGCGUCAGAUUAGCUAGUUGGUGGGGUAAAGGCCUACCAAGGCGACGAUCUGUAGCUGGUCUGAGAGGAUGAUCAGCCACACUGGGACUGAGACACGGCCCAGACUCCUACGGGAGGCAGCAGUGGGGAAUAUUGGACAAUGGGCGAAAGCCUGAUCCAGCAAUGCCGCGUGAGUGAUGAAGGCCUUAGGGUUGUAAAGCUCUUUUACCCGGGAUGAUAAUGACAGUACCGGGAGAAUAAGCCCCGGCUAACUCCGUGCCAGCAGCCGCGGUAAUACGGAGGGGGCUAGCGUUGUUCGGAAUUACUGGGCGUAAAGCGCACGUAGGCGGCUUUGUAAGUCAGGGGUGAAAGCCUGGAGCUCAACUCCAGAACUGCCUUUGAGACUGCAUCGCUUGAAUCCGGGAGAGGUAAGUGGAAUUCCGAGUGUAGAGGUGAAAUUCGUAGAUAU